CAUGGAUAACCAUGGUAAUUCUAUGGCUAAUACAUGCGCACUCGCCUCCUUCUCUGGAGGGGCUGUGUUUAUUAGAUACAAAACCAACCCACUUUGUGGAGUCCUGGUGAUUCAUAGUAACCGAACGGAUCGCAGUUGGCUUCGGCCCGCGAUGGAUCUUUCAAGUUUCUGACCUAUCAGCUUUCGACGGUAGGGUAUUGGCCUACCGUGGCAGUGACGGGUAACGGGGAAUUAGGGUUCGAUUCCGGAGAGGGAGCCUGAGAAACGGCUACCACAUCUAAGGAAGGCAGCAGGCGCGCAAAUUACCCAAUGAAAACAGUUUCGAGGUAGUGACGAGAAAUAACAAUACAGGGCAUUUUAUGCUCUGUAAUUGGAAUGAUGGGAAUGUAAAACCCUUCCAGAGUAACAAUUGGAGGGCAAGUCUGGUGCCAGCAGCCGCGGUAAUUCCAGCUCCAAUAGUGUAUAUUAGAGUUGUUGCAGUUAAAAAGCUCGUAGUUGGAUUUCUGUCGUGGUCAUCCGGUUCCGCCCGUAUGGGUGUGCGCCUGGUUUGCCCUCGGCUUUCUUCCGGUAGCCUUCCGCGCUUCAUUGCGUGUGUUGGUGUUCCGGAACUUUUACUUUGAGAAAAAUAGAGUGUUUCAAGCAGGCUUGUCGCCCUGAAUACUUCAGCAUGGAAUAAUAAGAUAGGACCUUGGUUCUAUUUUGUUGGUUUCUAGGACCUAGGUAAUGAUUAAUAGGGACAGUUGGGGGCAUUCGUAUUUAACUGUCAGAGGUGAAAUUCUUAGAUUUGUUAAAGACGAACUACUGCGAAAGCAUUUGCCAAGGAUGUUUUCAUUAAUCAAGAACGACAGUAGGGGGUUUGAAGACGAUUA
RNAcentral lists this ribosomal RNA (869 nucleotides) under Eimeria sp. Bat10. RNAcentral's name for it is "SSU rRNA". It matches the Rfam family "Eukaryotic small subunit ribosomal RNA", at positions 138 to 1010 of the family's 1831-position model. The record is from RNAcentral. Lineage: Eukaryota; Apicomplexa; Conoidasida; Eucoccidiorida; Eimeriidae.